Molecule: ribosomal RNA, 460 nt
Filed under: uncultured bacterium
Lineage: Bacteria
Description: partial 16S ribosomal RNA
Rfam family: Bacterial small subunit ribosomal RNA
Source: RNAcentral
CCUACGGGAGGCAGCAGUGAGGAAUAUUGGUCAAUGGGCGCGAGCCUGAACCAGCCAAGUAGCGUGAAGGAUGACUGCCCUACGGGUUGUAAGCUUCUUUUAUAAAGGAAUAAAGUGAGGCACGUGUGCCUUUUUGUAUGUACUUUAUGAAUACAGAUAGGCUAACCCCGUUCCAGCAGCCGCGGUAAUACGGAGGAUCCGAGCGUUAAACGGAUUUAUUGGGUUUAAAGGGAGCGUAGAUGGGUUUUUAAGUCAGUUGUGAAAGUUUGCGGCUCAACCGUAAGCUUGCAAUUGAUACUGGCAGUCUUGAGUACAGUUGAGGUAGGCGGAAUUCGAGGUGUAGCGGUGAAAUGCGUAGAUAUCACGAAGAACUCCGAUUGCGAAGGCAGCUUACUAAGCUGCCACUGACAUUGAUGCUCGAAAGUGUGGGUAUCAAACAGGAUUAGAUACCCCAGUAGUC